UAAUCCUAGUUUGUUCCCCAGCUUACGUGGGGUCAGGCAAGAUAAAGCUACUUUCGUUGUGGGCUUCUUUCCCCCGGGAACGUAUAACAGUCUUGGAGGUAUUUCGCUUUAGUGAUGAGAUGUCCUUAACCACCCUUUACGCCGAAGCUGUCAACUUGAGCCUCAUCGUGUGACCGCGGUUGCUGGCACGAGAUUUAC
This 198-nucleotide ribosomal RNA is filed under the name Apistogramma agassizii. Its description in RNAcentral is "partial small subunit ribosomal RNA". Lineage: Eukaryota; Metazoa; Chordata; Actinopteri; Cichliformes; Cichlidae. The record is from RNAcentral.